RNAcentral lists this small RNA (41 nucleotides) under Arabidopsis thaliana (thale cress). RNAcentral's name for it is "ATSL229600". The record is from RNAcentral. Lineage: Eukaryota; Viridiplantae; Streptophyta; Magnoliopsida; Brassicales; Brassicaceae.
AAUGUUGAACAACUGGAGAACAUGCUAGAAGAAACAAGGUC